AUGUUCAAGACCACUGUAUUUGAGCAGCCUUGGGGUAUAAGAUUGUAGAGAGCCCCUGGGGGAUCAAUUCCUGAAUAGAUGAACUCUCUCAUUCAUUAAACAUAUCUGCUAGACUCCACUUGGUGUCUUGGUGUUACAGAAAUAAGCAAAACAUAAUACCAGGCCUCAUGGAGCUUCUGAUAUAAUACAAGUUUAUUAAUUAGACUGGAGAAUGACACAGGCUAUAUUGGAGAUAUUAGUUGAUGCUGUUGGGGAAUGGAAGAGAAUAGCAUCCAACUCAGAGAAUGAGGGAGGGCUUUCCAGAUAAAAGAUGCUUGAAGUUUAUCUUUCAUCUCAUCCUCAGGACUCAGAACGUUUGGUGCCAAACCUUCUCCACUAAUUCACAGCUGAAACAGACAAAGCCAAUCUGAAGCCGGAAGGAAAAGGAGCCCAGUGGUACAAACUUCUGGGGCAAGAUUAGGAUGGAGAAGGAUGGAAAUGAAUCUAGAAGGCAAAUAGAGUAAGCAGCAGCCCAGCACAGAGGCCUCAAUGGACCAUGCACAAGACUCCAUAAACAAAAAUAGCCGAUUGGCUGAGAAUAACAGAAGAGACCAGAGAUGCAGAGAUGCCCUAAGAGAUCAUGCAGCCCAUAAGAGAGAGCAGAGCCUUCGCUCUGGAAUUGCUGCCAGCUUAGCAAUUCCAUUUUAGAUGUUUCCUGUACCUGAAGAUCCCUAUGUCCUUUACAGGCACUGUCUUGACUGAGUCUAAUUAUUUUAGACAAGUACUGUUGACUAAUAUUCCACUCCCUGCGGAGGCAGUUUCAGACAUAGUUUCCAAUGAUCCCUGCCCCUUGCAAGCUUCCCCUGGAGUAUAGACUAGACCUUAAUGACUUGCCUCUACCAUAGAGAAUACAGCAAAAGUGAUGGAAUUCCACUGUCAAAAUUGGGUUACAAAAGACUCUUGCCUACUUUUGUGCUUGCCUUCUCUUGCUGGCUCUGAUGAAGCAAGCUACCACUGCUGUAAGCUGUCCUAUGGAGAGACCCACAUAGUGAGGAACAGAAAGCAACUGUGUAACUGAGGUUCUCCGUGCAACAGCCCAUGAGGAACUGAAUGCGGCCAAACCAUGUGAAUGUACUAGGGGACAGAUCUUUCCUCACUGAGGCUUGAAAUCUGCUGCACUCCCAGCGUGAUACCUUGAUUGCAGUUUCUGUGAGAUAAUAAGAGUUGUUGUUUUACACCACUAAAUUUUGGAGUACAUCAUUUGUUACACAGCAGUGGAUAACUAAUACACUCCCAGAACAUGAUUGUUUCCUCUACAUGAGAGGCCCUAGGCCUGAGACUCCUGUCAGGCUGCACUGGGAGAUUCCAAGGAUGCUGAGCACCCUCUGAAUAGCUCUGAGACCUGUGAGAACCACCUAAAUGGAAGAUUCCUUUUUGGUCUAGCCACGGGUGAUUUCCAGGCCAAGAGCCUGAGUCUUUGCCUGCUAUUCAAAUCGAAUGCCACGUCUUACAGCCCAUAAGACCCCUUCUUCUGCCUUUCUGUUCUCUUCAAACUCUAGCUACAUUGUUGUGUCAUUGUUAAAUUUUCUUUGAAAAUUAUUUCAACUACUGUCAUGGGUUGUGGGAUAUUCAGCCCAUGUUCCUCCAUUUCCAAAUUGCUCCUGCUCCAGCUUGCAUGGAAAUGAUGGUUUGCACUAUUUCAGAAGUACUUUGAUUCUUUUCUUCAUCUAAUCUCUCCUUUAGGUUCCAUUCACUUAACUUUAGAAAGGUGAUUCUCAAAGGGAAGUUGAGUGGGGGACUUCAUAUAGCAAGAAAGGGGCAUAUUUUUCUUCUCCUUUGAACCAUAACCAUUUAAAGCAAUUAUAAUGCUAUGUAAUAAAGGAAAAACAUUUUAAUGAUA
Long non-coding RNA from Pongo pygmaeus (Bornean orangutan), 1879 nucleotides. RefSeq lists it as uncharacterized. The record is from RefSeq and is a predicted model, not a curated record. NCBI's taxonomy places the organism in Eukaryota, Metazoa, Chordata, Mammalia, Primates, Hominidae. The transcript is spliced from 2 exons.